GUCACGCUUCAGCGGCACAUAUACCAAAACUGGAACAAUACAGAGAUUAGCCCAGCCCCUGAGCAAAGAUGACCUGCAAAUUUGAAAAUCGUUUCAUAUUCUU
Small nuclear RNA from Meriones unguiculatus (Mongolian gerbil), 103 nucleotides. NCBI's taxonomy places the organism in Eukaryota, Metazoa, Chordata, Mammalia, Rodentia, Muridae. The record is from Ensembl.